Molecule: non-coding RNA, 46 nt
Organism: Helicosporidium sp. ATCC 50920
Lineage: Eukaryota; Viridiplantae; Chlorophyta; Trebouxiophyceae; Chlorellales; Chlorellaceae
Source: Rfam
AAAAUGGUGUUAUUAAACACCACCUUUAUGGAUUUGAAUUUUGCUU